CCCUUAGAUGUCCUGGGCCGCACGCGCGUUACACUGAUGCAUUCAACGAGCUUAUAACCUUGGCCGAGAGGCCUGGGCAAUCUUGUUAACGUGCAUCGUGAUAGGGAUAGAUUAUUGAAAUUAUUAAUCUUGAACGAGGAAUUCCUAGUAAACGCAGACCAUCAAUCUGCAUUGAUUACGUCCCUGCCCUUUGUACACACCGCCCGUCGCACCUACCGAUUGGAUGGUCCGGUGAAGCCUCGGGAUUGUGGUUCUUGCCGCUUUAUUGUGGCGUGACCGCGAGAACUUGUCUAAACCUUAUCAUCUAGAGGAAGGUGAAGUCGUAACA
Molecule: ribosomal RNA, 328 nt
Filed under: uncultured eukaryote
Lineage: Eukaryota
Description: partial 18S ribosomal RNA
Rfam family: Eukaryotic small subunit ribosomal RNA
Source: RNAcentral